CACGUAGGGGGCAAGCGUUGUCCGGAUUUAUUGGGCGUAAAGAGCUCGUAGGCGGCUCAGUAAGUCGGGUGUGAAACCUCCAGGCUCAACCUGGAGACGCCACCCGAUACUGCUGUGGCUUGAGUCCGGUAGGGGAGCGUGGAAUUCCUGGUGUAGCGGUGAAAUGCGCAGAUAUCAGGAGGAACACCGGUGGCGAAGGCGGAUCUCUGGGCCUUACCUGACGCUCAGGUGCGAAAGCUAGGGGAGCGAACAGG
This 254-nucleotide ribosomal RNA is filed under the name uncultured bacterium. RNAcentral describes it as "partial 16S ribosomal RNA". It matches the Rfam family "Bacterial small subunit ribosomal RNA", at positions 524 to 776 of the family's 1533-position model. The record is from RNAcentral.